RNAcentral lists this ribosomal RNA (585 nucleotides) under uncultured marine eukaryote. RNAcentral describes it as "SSU rRNA". It matches the Rfam family "Eukaryotic small subunit ribosomal RNA", at positions 616 to 1202 of the family's 1831-position model. The record is from RNAcentral.
UGGUUAAAAAGCUCGUAGUUGGAUCUCAACAGCCUUGAAGCGGUUAACUUUGUAGUUUUACUGCUUUAUAGGCUGUGCUUUUGCUGGAGGUUUAGGGGUGCUCUUGAUCGAGUGUCUCUGGAUGCCAGCAGGUUUACUUUGAAAAAAUUAGAGUGCUCGAAGCAGGCUAAAAUGCCUGAAUAUUCGCGCAUGGAAUAAUAGAAUAGGAUGUCGAUCCUAUUUUGUUGGUUUUCGGGACUCGACAUAAUGAUAAAUAGGGACAGUCGGGGGCAUUUGUAUUCAAACGACAGAGGUGAAAUUCUUGGACCGUUUGAAGACAAACUACUGCGAAAGCAUUUGCCAAGAAUGUCUUCAUUAAUCAAGAACGAAAGUUAGAGGUUCGAAGGCGAUUAGAUACCGCCCUAGUUCUAACCAUAAACGAUGCCAGCUAGCGAUCUGCCUGCGUUUUUACUGUAGACUGGGCAGGAAGCUUCCGGGAAACCAAAGCAUUUGGGUUCCAGGGGAAGUAUGGUUGCAAAGCUGAAACUUAAAGGAAUUGACGGAAGGGCACCACCAGGAGUGGAGCCUGUGGCUUAAUUUGACUCA